AACGCGAAGAACCUUACCUGGGCUCGAAGCGCAGUGGACCGGGGUAGAAAUAUCCCUUCCUCGCAAGAGGCUGCUGCGGAGGUGCUGCAUGGCUGUCGUCAGCUCGUGUCGUGAGAUGUUGGGUUAAGUCCCGCAACGAGCGCAACCCUUAUCCCUAGUUGCCAUCGGGUCAAGCUGGGCACUCUAGUGAAACCGCCCAGGAUAACUGGGAGGAAGGUGGGGAUGACGUCAAGUCCUCAUGGCCUUUAUGUCCAGGGCUACACACGUGCUACAAUGGUCGGUACAAACCGUCGCAAACCCGCGAGGGGGAGCUAAUCGGAAAAAGCCGGCCUCAGUUCGGAUUGGAGUCUGCAACCCGACUCCAUGAAGCUGGAAUCGCUAGUAAUCGCGGAUCAGAACGCCGCGGUGAAUACGUUCCCGGGCCUUGUACACACCGGAGUA
RNAcentral lists this ribosomal RNA (441 nucleotides) under uncultured bacterium. RNAcentral describes it as "bacterial SSU rRNA". It matches the Rfam family "Bacterial small subunit ribosomal RNA", at positions 958 to 1398 of the family's 1533-position model. The record is from RNAcentral.